Molecule: transfer RNA, 255 nt
Filed under: Pseudomonas syringae pv. actinidiae
Lineage: Bacteria; Pseudomonadati; Pseudomonadota; Gammaproteobacteria; Pseudomonadales; Pseudomonadaceae
Description: partial 16S-23S ribosomal RNA intergenic spacer
Rfam family: tRNA (bases 25-98)
Source: RNAcentral
UUUUUGCUUUGCACACCCGAUUUUGGGUGUGUAGCUCAGUUGGUUUGAGCGCACCCCUUUUAAGGGUGAGGUCGGCAGUUCGAAUAUGCCCAGACCCACCAGUUACUUGGUGAAGUUGGACAGAGCGUGUACGACACCCGGAUACGGGUCCAUAGCUCAGCUGGGAGAGCGCGGGCCUUGCACGCAAGAGGUACAGCGAAUUGAUUCCGAAAGGCUACUACAAGUAAUAUAUGUUGAUUGUGUUUUUUGACGGAA